Molecule: ribosomal RNA, 303 nt
Filed under: uncultured bacterium
Lineage: Bacteria
Description: partial 16S ribosomal RNA
Rfam family: Bacterial small subunit ribosomal RNA
Source: RNAcentral
AGCAGUCGCCGCGGUAAUACAGAGGGUGCAAGCGUUAAUCGGAAUUACUGGGCGUAAAGCGCGCGUAGGUGGUUUGUUAAGUUGGAUGUGAAAUCCCCGGGCUCAACCUGGGAACUGCAUCCAAAACUGGCAAGAUAGAGUAUGGUAGAGGGUGGUGGAAUUUCCUGUGUAGCGGUGAAAUGCGUAGAUAUAGGAAGGAACACCAGUGGCGAAGGCGACCACCUGGACUGAUACUGACACUGAGGUGCGAAAGCGUGGGGAGCAAACAGGAUUAGAUACCCCUGUAGUCCCUGUCUCUUAUAC